Molecule: long non-coding RNA, 1828 nt
Organism: Cephus cinctus (wheat stem sawfly)
Lineage: Eukaryota; Metazoa; Arthropoda; Insecta; Hymenoptera; Cephidae
Exons: 3
Source: RefSeq, a predicted model, not a curated record
GUCCAGUUACAAAAAAGAGGUCUUUUAUUCCCGCGGCGUUUCUACCUUAAUCACUGACAGUUGAUCAGUCGAUUACCACGCUGGAACGGAUAAUACAUUCCUGAUUAAAGACACUUCUUAUGCUUGGAUCAAAAGAAAGACUACAGUGAGGUCCAUGACUCGAAUAAACGUGGAUCCGACGAAAACGUUAUGAUGACCAUAGUGGAAGAAGACAAGGACCAGUUGAAAGAAUAAAAUCCAUGGUCCAGCUCAGCACAAGUACGAAUAAGAAUUUCAAGAUCAACAAGGUCAUCUCAAAAACGUCUGCAAACUCGACCUGCACCAUCCUGACGUGAUUACAACCAGUUUUUUGGACUCGAUUCUUCAGAUUUUUUCUGGAAGUCAAAAUUUAAAAAACGAUACAACAGCCGGAAUCUGGUACCUUAAAUUUUGGUGAAACACAUAUUUUCUUUGCAAAACUGUCACAGUGGCUUGACGCUAGUGACAUUCUUGUGGCUAGCCUAUACAGUUAUAUAUCUACGUUACAGGACGUGCGUACCUAGCAGCCACUUUUUUGUCUUUUUAAACUUUGCCUGGCUUGACCAUCAAAUUUAAUCGUAACGACAAACAAUCAUAAUGCGAUCACGAAAUUAUGAUGAAAGGUGUACCACAUACUCGCUUCUGGAAAGGCUGACCUGAAAUUCGUGAAAAAGAUAUCGCCACGCGUACAGUAUUCACUCUUGUUGGUUACACUUCCAUUUUUAUUCAUCUGUACGGUAAAGCGAGUUCAGUUACAGGAAGUGGAAUGCAUAUGGAUAUACAUACAAUAACGUAAGCUGGUCGAGUAGUAAAAUUGAAGAUGAUUUCACCGUCUGUGAAAAUCCCGUUAUGGUGUAACAGGAAAGAGAAGAGAGUCUAGUUGGUGUCUGGUAAACAUGAAAAUUAUAAAGUUUGAUAAACGUAGCAUAAUUUUAAACAAUUUUUAUAUUAUUAAAUCAGAGUACAGCAAUGGGUAUUAAUACGUUGGAUAAGAAUAACGGUACUUUUGUUAAAUAAAAUUUUUAAUAAACAAUCAUUUUUUUCGAGUAAAUUGCGGGGUCUACGAACUUGAAAAUCCAAAACAGUAUCAUAUACCAAGUAGAAGUGGUUUACUGCGAUGACGUCACUUUACGAGGCUAUUGAAAAAAAAUCAAAGAGAAAGCAGUCAUCUCUGCUGCGAAAUACAGAAUUGUCUUUUUUUCUUCUUCUUCUUCUUCGGGAAGGUCAAUCAUUGUAACAUGAACUUGCUGAGGUCAUAGUUCGAUCUUUAAAAAUUGUCAGAUCAUCAAAUUACAUAUUAAGAAGUAUAGACGUUCCAAUUGUUGUAUCAAUAAUUGUUACUUAAUAAUUCUCUAUUUAAUUCGUACAGAAGUCAAAGACCUUACUGACCUUAUGUACACUCAAUUAAUCCUGCCUUUUCGUAAUCAGUGACAGUGUACGUAUUAUUAUAGAUGUAAUAAAAUAUUCUUGUUGUUUAUAAUAAUUUAUUAAUUCAUAAUAAAAUAUUGUGGAGAGAAAAAAUAUAUUGUGGACCAACAAUUGGAAGAUGGUGGAAUGAAAAUGUUGAUGAUGAGGAUGAGGAUCAGAGUCAAAGAAUUCCUAUGUGAAAGGAGUUGAGAGAAAGCUGUCGUGGCUGCUGGUAGUCAGCACGAUGUUCAACUCCAGAAAGACUGCAAGCUCGUCGAAUAAUUCGAAUAAAUAUCAGGGCACGUAAGACAGUAGUAGUGAUACUGCAUGUAUGUAAAUACAGGUUAUGAAUUUAGGUAAAGAUUCAAAAGAGGAUUAAAAAUUUGAUUGUAUUCCUUAUCUG